This 401-nucleotide unclassified non-coding RNA is filed under the name Hevea brasiliensis (rubber tree). The record is from RNAcentral. Lineage: Eukaryota; Viridiplantae; Streptophyta; Magnoliopsida; Malpighiales; Euphorbiaceae.
GGCUAUGUUACAGCAGGGCGACUCACUUUAAAAAAGCUCUCGCCUCGCCCCUCACCUCGCCUCUAAGGUGACAGUACCCUAUCUUUUGACUAGCGCCUCCCGUCUUGAUAACACUGACGUGUAGAAACAAAAGUAUGGAUGAGAUGAGGAAUGAUUAUGUUCACAGAAAGGUGGAAGUAGCUCCUGUUGAGGGAAAGUUAAGAGCAGCGAAUUAAAAUAGCAAGGACAUGUGAAUUGUAGAACAGCAAACGUACCAGUAUGAAAGGUUGAGAACAUUGAAAAUUCAUAUUGAGAACAUUGAAAAUUCAUAGUAACCAAAGCUACUAAAUAAUAUAAAAUCUAGACCUAUUUAUAGAGUUUUUGAGACCUUAAUCACAUCAGGAUUAAGAACCCUAAUAUAA